GAUGGAUUUUCAGGCUCAAGUUUUCACUUUCUUGUUCCUCAGCAUCACAGUGUCCAGUGAAGAAGUUGUGCUCACCCAGUCUCCAGCAUCCUUGGCUGCUUCUCAAGGUGAGAGGGUCACCAUCUCCUGCACAGCCAGCUCAAGUGUAAGCACUACUUACUUACACUGGUACCAACAGAAGCCAGGAGCUUCUCCCAAACUCCUGAUUUAUGGAACAUCAUACUUGGCUUCUGGAGUCCCAACUCGCUUCAGUGUCAGUGGUUCUUGGACAUCCUUCUCUCUCACCAUCAGUGGCAUGGAGCCUGAAGAUGCUGCUACUUAUUACUGUCAACAGUGGCAUCGUGAUCCAACCACAGUGACACAGACUGGAACAAAAAUCCCCUCAGCUCUGCAGGCCCAGCUGUUUCUUCCUCAGAGAAUGCAACAUGGUCAGGGGUCUGAUUGA
Non-coding RNA from Jaculus jaculus (lesser Egyptian jerboa), 445 nucleotides. NCBI's taxonomy places the organism in Eukaryota, Metazoa, Chordata, Mammalia, Rodentia, Dipodidae. The record is from the annotation of a RefSeq genome assembly.